RNAcentral lists this ribosomal RNA (283 nucleotides) under Escherichia coli. RNAcentral describes it as "partial 16S ribosomal RNA". It matches the Rfam family "Bacterial small subunit ribosomal RNA", at positions 1 to 280 of the family's 1533-position model. The record is from RNAcentral. Lineage: Bacteria; Pseudomonadati; Pseudomonadota; Gammaproteobacteria; Enterobacterales; Enterobacteriaceae.
AAAUUGAAGAGUUUGAUCAUGGCUCAGAUUGAACGCUGGCGGCAGGCCUAACACAUGCAAGUCGAACGGUAACAGGAAGAAGCUUGCUUCUUUGCUGACGAGUGGCGGACGGGUGAGUAAUGUCUGGGAAACUGCCUGAUGGAGGGGGAUAACUACUGGAAACGGUAGCUAAUACCGCAUAACGUCGCAAGACCAAAGAGGGGGACCUUCGGGCCUCUUGCCAUCGGAUGUGCCCAGAUGGGAUUAGCUUGUUGGUGGGGUAACGGCUCACCAAGGCGACGAU